Panthera pardus (leopard) is the source of this 67-nucleotide unclassified non-coding RNA. NCBI's taxonomy places the organism in Eukaryota, Metazoa, Chordata, Mammalia, Carnivora, Felidae. The record is from Ensembl.
UCUCCCGCUGUGGCCGGGGUCACUCCGCGUGGGCAUUGUGGCUUUUGUCUGCAUCUGGACAACCGGA